AUCAGCCGCAAUGAUGAAUUAUGUUAAUCCCAGCUCUAUGAGACAUUCUAAAUGUCAAUGACUAGACAAGAUUCACAUAUUUACCUGAGCUCAAAC
Small nucleolar RNA from Cucurbita maxima (winter squash), 96 nucleotides. NCBI's taxonomy places the organism in Eukaryota, Viridiplantae, Streptophyta, Magnoliopsida, Cucurbitales, Cucurbitaceae. The record is from RefSeq and is a predicted model, not a curated record.